GCCAGAAUAGCUCAGUGGAAGAGCAGCUCACUCGUAAUGAGCAGGUCAAGGGUUCAAGUCCCUUUUCUGGCU
This 72-nucleotide transfer RNA is filed under the name Spirochaetales bacterium. RNAcentral describes it as "tRNA-Thr". It matches the Rfam family "tRNA". Rfam says of the family: Transfer RNA (tRNA) molecules are approximately 80 nucleotides in length. Their secondary structure includes four short double-helical elements and three loops (D, anti-codon, and T loops). The record is from RNAcentral. Lineage: Bacteria; Pseudomonadati; Spirochaetota; Spirochaetia; Spirochaetales.